GACGAACGCUGGCGGCGUGCCUAAUACAUGCAAGUAGAACGCUGAAGGAGGAUCUUGCUUCUCUGGAUGAGUUGCGAACGGGUGAGUAACGCGUAGGUAACCUGCCUGGUAGCGGGGGAUAACUAUUGGAAACGAUAGCUAAUACCGCAUAAGAGUAGAUGUUGCAUGACAUUUGCUUAAAAGGUGCAAUUGCAUCACUACCAGAUGGACCUGCGUUGUAUUAGCUAGUUGGUGGGGUAACGGCUCACCAAGGCGACGAGACAUAGCCGACCGGAGGGGGGGAUGGGCCGACCUGGAACUGAGACACGGCCCAGACCCCUAAGGGAGGCAGCAGGAGGGAGUGUUCGGCAAUGGACGGAAGUCUGACCGAGCAAGGCCGCGUGAGGGAAGAAGGUUUUCGGAUCGUAAAGCUCUGUUGUAAGAGAAGAACGAGUGUGAGAGUGGAAAGUUCACACUGUGACGGUAUCUUACCAGAAAGGGACGGCUAACUACGUG
RNAcentral lists this ribosomal RNA (495 nucleotides) under uncultured bacterium. RNAcentral describes it as "partial 16S ribosomal RNA". It matches the Rfam family "Bacterial small subunit ribosomal RNA", at positions 28 to 507 of the family's 1533-position model. The record is from RNAcentral.